Molecule: ribosomal RNA, 779 nt
Filed under: Microbacterium maritypicum
Lineage: Bacteria; Bacillati; Actinomycetota; Actinomycetes; Micrococcales; Microbacteriaceae
Description: bacterial SSU rRNA
Rfam family: Bacterial small subunit ribosomal RNA
Source: RNAcentral
AGGAUGAACGCUGGCGGCGUGCUUAACACAUGCAAGUCGAACGGUGAAGCCCAGCUUGCUGGGUGGAUCAGUGGCGAACGGGUGAGUAACACGUGAGCAACCUGCCCCUGACUCUGGGAUAAGCGCUGGAAACGGCGUCUAAUACUGGAUACGAGUAGCGACCGCAUGGUCAGUUACUGGAAAGAUUUAUUGGUUGGGGAUGGGCUCGCGGCCUAUCAGCUUGUUGGUGAGGUAAUGGCUCACCAAGGCGUCGACGGGUAGCCGGCCUGAGAGGGUGACCGGCCACACUGGGACUGAGACACGGCCCAGACUCCUACGGGAGGCAGCAGUGGGGAAUAUUGCACAAUGGGCGCAAGCCUGAUGCAGCAACGCCGCGUGAGGGAUGACGGCCUUCGGGUUGUAAACCUCUUUUAGCAGGGAAGAAGCGAAAGUGACGGUACCUGCAGAAAAAGCGCCGGCUAACUACGUGCCAGCAGCCGCGGUAAUACGUAGGGCGCAAGCGUUAUCCGGAAUUAUUGGGCGUAAAGAGCUCGUAGGCGGUUUGUCGCGUCUGCUGUGAAAUCCGGAGGCUCAACCUCCGGCCUGCAGUGGGUACGGGCAGACUAGAGUGCGGUAGGGGAGAUUGGAAUUCCUGGUGUAGCGGUGGAAUGCGCAGAUAUCAGGAGGAACACCGAUGGCGAAGGCAGAUCUCUGGGCCGUAACUGACGCUGAGGAGCGAAAGGGUGGGGAGCAAACAGGCUUAGAUACCCUGGUAGUCCACCCCGUAAACGUUGGGAACU